RNAcentral lists this unclassified non-coding RNA (917 nucleotides) under Hevea brasiliensis (rubber tree). Lineage: Eukaryota; Viridiplantae; Streptophyta; Magnoliopsida; Malpighiales; Euphorbiaceae. The record is from RNAcentral.
CCCCACUCCAAAGUCCUCCACAGAAAGAAUUACAACAAAUCAUAUACUCCAAGCCAAAAUGUUCAUCGAAGAAAGCACCCCAGUGCUCAAUUUUGUAAAACAAAUUUCAUCAAUCAAUUCAAUCAAUAAAGCACCUCUUAUGAUAUGGAGUACAAUGGGGGAAAAUUUUAACCAAAAAUAAAAUAAAGAGAUUAAAUAUAAAUAAAUGAAGCACGAUCACAUCUCUCUCUCUCUCUCUAGAAGAUGAAGCUGACGGCGACGGCAGCCCAUCCGAAAGCCAAACUUCCGGCCACCUUCUGCAGGUUCCACAAUGUUUCAGCUCCACUCUUGUCCUCUAGUGAAGGGCUGGGCGAAGGACCUUCCUCGCUUGCUCCAGGGGCUUCGGAAGGAGGAGCAGGUGGACCAAGCAACGCCGGAGAAGGAGCUGGUGCUUUGUGCUUCUUGGACUUCUUCUUGCUAGGCGCCGGCGCCGGAACCUCAACGGGAGGCGAUGCGACUGGAGCAGGAGGAGAACUUUCGGGAGCGGGAGGAGAUUCAGUUGGAGUUGGUACUGGAGGAGAGCUCACCGGUACGGGAACUGGUGGAGAACUCACCGGGACCGGAACAGGUGGGGAGCUCGCUGGAACGGUAGCAGCCGGCGGAGAGGUAGGUGGUACAGAAGCAGCCGGUGGAGAGCUAGUAGGAACUGAAGCAGUCGGAGGAGUGCUGGCUGGUGGAGAGGCUACUGGAGCGACUGCUGGUGGCGCCGAAGCAGGCGGCGUGGAGACAGUCCGUAAUAGCACUUGUUCUCAUCUGCGCCGUCGUCGCUGGUGUCGGUGGCCAGUCUCCGGCUGCAGCUCCGACUACUACGCCGGGGGCCACCCCGCCUGCAGCCGCGAAGUAUCUAACUCCUGCCGCAUCUCCUGUAUCACCACCGA